GACGGAGGGUGCAAGCGUUGUCCGGAAUCAUUGGGUGUAAAGGGUGUGUAGGCGGGACGGCAAGUCAGGGGUGAAAUCCCACAGCUUAACUGUGGAACUGCCUUUGAUACUGCUGUUCUUGAAUCCCGGAGAGGCCACUAGAAUUCGUGGUGUAGCGGUGAAAUGCGUAGAUAUCACGAGGAAUACCAGUUGCGUAGGCGGGUGGCUGGACGGGGAUUGACGCUGAGGCACGAAAGCGUGGGGAGCAAACAGG
Molecule: unclassified non-coding RNA, 253 nt
Filed under: uncultured Bacteroidota bacterium
Lineage: Bacteria; Pseudomonadati; Bacteroidota
Description: uncultured Bacteroidetes bacterium contains 16S-23S intergenic spacer region
Rfam family: Bacterial small subunit ribosomal RNA
Source: RNAcentral